GACGAACGCUGGCGGCGUGCUUAACACAUGCAAGUCGAACGGAAAGGCCCUGCUUUUGUGGGGUGCUCGAGUGGCGAACGGGUGAGUAACACGUGAGUAACCUGCCCUUGACUUUGGGAUAACUUCAGGAAACUGGGGCUAAUACCGGAUAGGAGCUCCUGCUGCAUGGUGGGGGUUGGAAAGUUUCGGCGGUUGGGGAUGGACUCGCGGCUUAUCAGCUUGUUGGUGGGGUAGCGGCUUACCAAGGCUUUGACGGGUAGCCGGCCUGAGAGGGUGACCGGCCACAAUGGGACUGAGAGACGGCGCAGACUCCUACGGGAGGCAGCAGUGGGGAAUAUUGCACAAUGGGCGGAAGCCUGAUGCAGCAACGCCGCGUGCGGGAUGACGGCCUUCGGGUUGUAAACCGCUUUCGCCUGUGACGAAGCGUGAGUGACGGUAAUGGGUAAAGAAGCACCGGCUAACUACGUG
RNAcentral lists this ribosomal RNA (468 nucleotides) under uncultured bacterium. Its description in RNAcentral is "partial 16S ribosomal RNA". It matches the Rfam family "Bacterial small subunit ribosomal RNA", at positions 28 to 507 of the family's 1533-position model. The record is from RNAcentral.